This 3991-nucleotide ribosomal RNA is filed under the name Drosophila melanogaster (fruit fly). Its description in RNAcentral is "eukaryotic LSU rRNA". The stretch from base 576 to 3991 matches the Rfam family "Eukaryotic large subunit ribosomal RNA". Lineage: Eukaryota; Metazoa; Arthropoda; Insecta; Diptera; Drosophilidae. The record is from RNAcentral.
AAAACUCUAAGCGGUGGAUCACUCGGCUCAUGGGUCGAUGAAGAACGCAGCAAACUGUGCGUCAUCGUGUGAACUGCAGGACACAUGAACAUCGACAUUUUGAACGCACAUCGCAGUCCAUGCUGUUAUGUACUUUAAUUAAUUUUAUAGUGCUGCUUGGACUACAUAUGGUUGAGGGUUGUAAGACUAUGCUAAUUAAGUUGCUUAUAAAUUUUUAUAAGCAUAUGGUAUAUUAUUGGAUAAAUAUAAUAAUUUUUAUUCAUAAUAUUAAAAAAUAAAUGAAAAACAUUAUCUCACAUUUGAAUGUGAAAAACGAAGAGAAAUAUUUUCUUUUUCAAUCAAAUAAUACUGAGAAAUGUCUAGCAUAAAAAAUUGAAAUAUUUUUCAUCUAGAAUUGUCUCUUAUUAAUGAUUCGGAAAUAGAAAAAUCUUGGUUAUGUUAUUAUUCUUCGUUGGUUCGUUAAAAAUGGAUAAAUAAAAACUUUGCAUACAAGAAUUAAUAAAAAUGUUAUAACGAAUUUAAUUAAAUGUUUUAUCAUUAUAUAUAAAGAAUUUAUGGCAAGAUAAAGUUAUAUACAACCUCAACUCAUAUGGGACUACCCCCUGAAUUUAAGCAUAUUAAUUAGGGGAGGAAAAGAAACUAACAAGGAUUUUCUUAGUAGCGGCGAGCGAAAAGAAAACAGUUCAGCACUAAGUCACUUUGUCUAUAUGGCAAAUGUGAGAUGCAGUGUAUGGAGCGUCAAUAUUCUAGUAUGAGAAAUUAACGAUUUAAGUCCUUCUUAAAUGAGGCCAUUUACCCAUAGAGGGUGCCAGGCCCGUAUAACGUUAAUGAUUACUAGAUGAUGUUUCCAAAGAGUCGUGUUGCUUGAUAGUGCAGCACUAAGUGGGUGGUAAACUCCAUCUAAAACUAAAUAUAACCAUGAGACCGAUAGUAAACAAGUACCGUGAGGGAAAGUUGAAAAGAACUCUGAAUAGAGAGUUAAACAGUACGUGAAACUGCUUAGAGGUUAAGCCCGAUGAACCUGAAUAUCCGUUAUGGAAAAUUCAUCAUUAAAAUUGUAAUAUUUAAAUAAUAUUAUGAGAAUAGUGUGCAUUUUUUCCAUAUAAGGACAUUGUAAUCUAUUAGCAUAUACCAAAUUUAUCAUAAAAUAUAACUUAUAGUUUAUUCCAAUUAAAUUGCUUGCAUUUUAACACAGAAUAAAUGUUAUUAAUUUGAUAAAGUGCUGAUAGAUUUAUAUGAUUACAGUGCGUUAAUUUUUCGGAAUUAUAUAAUGGCAUAAUUAUCAUUGAUUUUUGUGUUUAUUAUAUGCACUUGUAUGAUUAACAAUGCGAAAGAUUCAGGAUACCUUCGGGACCCGUCUUGAAACACGGACCAAGGAGUCUAACAUAUGUGCAAGUUAUUGGGAUAUAAACCUAAUAGCGUAAUUAACUUGACUAAUAAUGGGAUUAGUUUUUUAGCUAUUUAUAGCUAAUUAACACAAUCCCGGGGCGUUCUAUAUAGUUAUGUAUAAUGUAUAUUUAUAUUAUUUAUGCCUCUAACUGGAACGUACCUUGAGCAUAUAUGCUGUGACCCGAAAGAUGGUGAACUAUACUUGAUCAGGUUGAAGUCAGGGGAAACCCUGAUGGAAGACCGAAACAGUUCUGACGUGCAAAUCGAUUGUCAGAAUUGAGUAUAGGGGCGAAAGCCCAAUCGAACCAUCUAGUAGCUGGUUCCUUCCGAAGUUUCCCUCAGGAUAGCUGGUGCAUUUUAAUAUUAUAUAAAAUAAUCUUAUCUGGUAAAGCGAAUGAUUAGAGGCCUUAGGGUCGAAACGAUCUUAACCUAUUCUCAAACUUUAAAUGGGUAAGAACCUUAACUUUCUUGAUAUGAAGUUCAAGGUUAUGAUAUAAUGUGCCCAGUGGGCCACUUUUGGUAAGCAGAACUGGCGCUGUGGGAUGAACCAAACGUAAUGUUACGGUGCCCAAAUUAACAACUCAUGCAGAUACCAUGAAAGGCGUUGGUUGCUUAAAACAGCAGGACGGUGAUCAUGGAAGUCGAAAUCCGCUAAGGAGUGUGUAACAACUCACCUGCCGAAGCAACUAGCCCUUAAAAUGGAUGGCGCUUAAGUUGUAUACCUAUACAUUACCGCUAAAGUAGAUGAUUUAUAUUACUUGUGAUAUAAAUUUUGAAACUUUAGUGAGUAGGAAGGUACAAUGGUAUGCGUAGAAGUGUUUGGCGUAAGCCUGCAUGGAGCUGCCAUUGGUACAGAUCUUGGUGGUAGUAGCAAAUAAUCGAAUGAGACCUUGGAGGACUGAAGUGGAGAAGGGUUUCGUGUGAACAGUGGUUGAUCACGAGUUAGUCGGUCCUAAGUUCAAGGCGAAAGCCGAAAAUUUUCAAGUAAAACAAAAAUGCCUAACUAUAUAAACAAAGCGAAUUAUAAUACACUUGAAUAAUUUUGAACGAAAGGGAAUACGGUUCCAAUUCCGUAACCUGUUGAGUAUCCGUUUGUUAUUAAAUAUGGGCCUCGUGCUCAUCCUGGCAACAGGAACGACCAUAAAGAAGCCGUCGAGAGAUAUCGGAAGAGUUUUCUUUUCUGUUUUAUAGCCGUACUACCAUGGAAGUCUUUCGCAGAGAGAUAUGGUAGAUGGGCUAGAAGAGCAUGACAUAUACUGUUGUGUCGAUAUUUUCUCCUCGGACCUUGAAAAUUUAUGGUGGGGACACGCAAACUUCUCAACAGGCCGUACCAAUAUCCGCAGCUGGUCUCCAAGGUGAAGAGUCUCUAGUCGAUAGAAUAAUGUAGGUAAGGGAAGUCGGCAAAUUAGAUCCGUAACUUCGGGAUAAGGAUUGGCUCUGAAGAUUGAGAUAGUCGGGCUUGAUUGGGAAACAAUAACAUGGUUUAUGUGCUCGUUCUGGGUAAAUAGAGUUUCUAGCAUUUAUGUUAGUUACUUGUUCCCCGGAUAGUUUAGUUACGUAGCCAAUUGUGGAACUUUCUUGCUAAAAUUUUUAAGAAUACUAUUUGGGUUAAACCAAUUAGUUCUUAUUAAUUAUAACGAUUAUCAAUUAACAAUCAAUUCAGAACUGGCACGGACUUGGGGAAUCCGACUGUCUAAUUAAAACAAAGCAUUGUGAUGGCCCUAGCGGGUGUUGACACAAUGUGAUUUCUGCCCAGUGCUCUGAAUGUCAAAGUGAAGAAAUUCAAGUAAGCGCGGGUCAACGGCGGGAGUAACUAUGACUCUCUUAAGGGCCCGAGAUAGAUUAUUAGCUGAACAAAAUGAACUGUUAUCGCGUCCGGCAAUAGAAAAAUAUUGGGCGAACAAGUUGUACCUCUCAGUUGAUGGUAGCGGACUCCGUGAAGCGGGCCAUUAUGGCCCGCAACACGGGUGGGUUAGUCAACCCACGCGUUUAUUAACAGGAAAGGAAUAUAUAGACGGUAUUCGUCUGCGGAUAAAUGCCCUACCCACAAAGUCUCGUACUACAAGGGGAAGGCACGAAUUGGAACGACAGUGUCGUGCAGGAUGUGAUGCUCCCGAAACAACAAACCACAUAAUGCAAAAAUGCUACCGCUCGCAUGGGAGGCGGGUAGCUAGACACAACUGCGUAGUAAAUCGAAUCAAGCGGGGACUUGAGGAGAGAGGCUGCGUGGUCAUUGUUGAACCAAGUCUGCAGUGCGAAUCCGGCCUUAAUAAACCAGACCUGGUGGCACUACGACAAAAUCACAUUGAUGUGAUCGACAUACAAAUUGUGACAGACGGACACUCUAUGGAUGAUGCGCACCAGCGCAAAAUCAAUAGAUACGACAGACCGGACAUACGAACUGAAUUGCGUCGCAGAUUCGAAGCCGCAGGUGACAUUGAAUUCCAUUCUGCCACCCUGAACUGGAGGGGGAUCUGGAGUGGUCAAUCCGUUAAAAGAUUGAUAGCAAAGGGUCUCCUCAGCAAAUAUGAUAGUCAUAUCAUUAGCGUCCAGGUUAUGAGAGGCAGUCUCGGUUGUUUUAAACAGUUCAUGUACCUGAGCG